RNAcentral lists this transfer RNA (72 nucleotides) under Methanobacteriota archaeon. Its description in RNAcentral is "Euryarchaeota archaeon (marine metagenome) tRNA-Thr". It matches the Rfam family "tRNA". From Rfam's summary of the family: Transfer RNA (tRNA) molecules are approximately 80 nucleotides in length. Their secondary structure includes four short double-helical elements and three loops (D, anti-codon, and T loops). Further hydrogen bonds mediate the characteristic L-shaped molecular structure. tRNAs have two regions of fundamental functional importance: the anti-codon, which is responsible for specific mRNA codon recognition, and the 3' end, to which the tRNAs corresponding amino acid is attached (by aminoacyl-tRNA synthetases). tRNAs cope with the degeneracy of the genetic code in two manners: having more than one tRNA (with a specific anti-codon) for a particular amino acid; and 'wobble' base-pairing, i.e. permitting non-standard base-pairing at the 3rd anti-codon position. Lineage: Archaea; Methanobacteriati; Methanobacteriota. The record is from RNAcentral. RNAcentral also lists the same sequence under 1 other name.
GCCACUGUGGCAUAGCGGUAUUGCACCUCAUUGGUAAUGAGGAGGUCGUGAGUUCAAUUCUCACCAGUGGCU